Molecule: ribosomal RNA, 1751 nt
Filed under: bacterium
Lineage: Bacteria
Description: partial 23S ribosomal RNA
Rfam family: Bacterial large subunit ribosomal RNA
Source: RNAcentral
GUCAGGGCAGUUAUAAGAGAGGGAUGUUCCAAAUUUUUUUGGAGGAAGUUACAAAAUUGAUAGUUAGGCGAAAUUUCCUGGAAAGGAAUACCAUAGGGGGUAAUAGUCCUGUAGCCGAAAACUAUUCAAUCUUCUAGUCUCUUAUCUUGAGUACCUCGGAAAACGAUAACUCUGAGGGAAUUAGGCCGAACUAUAUGGCCAAGGCUAAAUACUAACCGGUCACCGAUAGUGAACUAGUACCGUGAGGGAAAGGUUAAAAGUAGCCCGUUGAGGGCGGUGAAAUAGAACCUGAAACCAUUUUGCCCACAAAGACUCCGAGUCUCUCGGCCGCAAGGCCUCGGGAUGAGGGGGUGCUUUUUGCAGAACGAACCAACGAGUUCACUUUUUAAUUUCGUCUAAUCCCGUCUCGGGAGGAGGCAUAGCGAAAGCGAGCGUUAAAUGCGCGCAAUAAAAAUUAAAAAGUGAGACCCGAAGCCAAGCGAGCUUGCCACGGCCAGGGUGAGUCAAGGAGAAAUCCUUGAGGAGGCCCGAACCCGUAGACCGUGCAAUAUCUUGGGAUGAGCUGUGGUAAGAAGUGAAAAGCUAAUCGAGCUUGGUAAUAGCUGGUUCUCCCCGAAAUAGUUUUAGGACUAGCAGCGCGUUUUCGCUUUCAGAGGUAGAGCACUAGAAAAAAUAUCUUGGCGAAAGCCAGAUAUUCUUACUAAACUCCGAAUACUGGAAGAUUAUACGCGCUAGUAAGAACCCGGGCGCUAAGGUCCGGGCUCAAAAGGGAAAAAGCCCUGAUCUUCGUCUAAGGUCCCUAAAUCUGGACUAAGUGUUUUUAAGGAAGUGAAGUUCCUUUGAUAGUUAGGAGGUUAGCUCAGAAGCAGCUACCCUUUAAAAAGUGCGUAACAGCUUACUAACUGAGGAAUUUUGCGCCAAAGAUACCCGGGACUAAGUCCAGUACCGAAGACAAGAAUUGUUAUUUUGUUUACAAAAUAACAGUGGUAGGGGAGCGUCCUUAAUGCAGUGAAGUCCCUCCGUAAGGUCGGGAUGGAGCGUUAAGGAGUGAGAAUGUUGGUAUGAGUAACCGCAAUGCAGGUGAAAGCCCUGCACACCGAAAGCCCGAGGUUUCCUUGGCAAGGGUAAUCCGCCAAGGGUUAGGCGAACCUUAGUCCACGACCGUUAGGUCGGGAUGACGGACAGCCGGUUAAUAUUCCGGCCCGGCCGCAAAAUAAUCUUGAAGCGACGCAGUCAAAAUUUUUGGGAGGAUUAUUGGAUUUCCGAGUUCCUCGAGCGCAAGCUCCCGGAACGCCUCAAAGACAAGAUUGCCCAGAAAAACUUCAAGUAUACUAUUUUGAUGGCCUUCGUACCGCACACUGACACAGGUGGGCAGGCGUGAAUACGCCAAGGUGAACGGGUGAAAGCUCCUAAAGGAACUCGGCAAAAAAGUAGGCGUAAGUUCGCGAUAUGCCUUGCCCCGACCCGCAAGGGUUUGGGGUUGCAACAAAAGAUUCCAAGCGACUGUUUAUCAAAGACACAGGUCCCUGCUAACUCGCAAGAGGAUGUAUAGGGGCUGAGAUCUGACCAGUGCCCGUGUGUUAACAGCGUCGGUCGCUGCGCGACGCAAGUUGCGUGGCGGCUACAUGCUCGAAGCCACAGGUGAACGUCCGCGGUAACUCUGACCGUGUUAAAGUAGCGUAACCCCUUGCCGUGUAAGUUACGGCCCGCAUGAAAGAUUUAACGACUUGGAAACUGUCUCUAGGAGCCGC